Molecule: ribosomal RNA, 496 nt
Filed under: uncultured bacterium
Lineage: Bacteria
Description: partial 16S ribosomal RNA
Rfam family: Bacterial small subunit ribosomal RNA
Source: RNAcentral
GAUGAACGCUGGCGGCGUGCCUAAUACAUGCAAGUCGAGCGAACGGACGAGAAGCUUGCUUCUCUGAUGUUAGCGGCGGACGGGUGAGUAACACGUGGAUAACCUACCUAUAAGACUGGGAUAACUUCGGGAAACCGUAGCUAAUACCGGAUAAUAUUUUGAACCGCAUGGUUCAAAAGUGAAAGACGGUCUUGCUGUCACUUAUAGAUGGAUCCGCGCUGCAUUAGCUAGUUGGUAAGGUAACGGCUUACCAAGGCAACGAUGCAUAGCCGACCUGAGAGGGUGAUCGGCCACACUGGAACUGAGACACGGUCCAGACUCCUACGGGAGGCAGCAGUAGGGAAUCUUCCGCAAUGGGCGAAAGCCUGACGGAGCAACGCCGCGUGAGUGAUGAAGGUCUUCGGAUCGUAAAACUCUGUUAUUAGGGAAGAACAUAUGUGUAAGUAACUGUGCACAUCUUGACGGUACCUAAUCAGAAAGCCACGGCUAACUACGG